UUUUGUGGAGGGUUCGAUUCUGGCUCAGGAUGAACGCUGGCGGCGUGCUUAACACAUGCAAGUCGAACGGGAUCCCAGGAGCUUGCUCCUGGGUGAGAGUGGCGAACGGGUGAGUAAUGCGUGACCG
This 127-nucleotide ribosomal RNA is filed under the name Bifidobacterium adolescentis. RNAcentral describes it as "partial 16S ribosomal RNA". It matches the Rfam family "Bacterial small subunit ribosomal RNA", at positions 1 to 123 of the family's 1533-position model. Lineage: Bacteria; Bacillati; Actinomycetota; Actinomycetes; Bifidobacteriales; Bifidobacteriaceae. The record is from RNAcentral.